GACGAACGCGGGCGGCGUGCUUAACACUGCAAGUCGAACGCUGAAGGCCCAGCUUGCUGGGUUGGUGAGUGGCGAACGGGUGAGUAACACGUGAGUAACCUGCCCCCUUCUUUGGGAUAACGGUCGGAAACGGCUGCUAAUACCGGGUAUUCACUGUCCUUCGCAUGGGGGGUGGUGGAAAGGUUUUUUCUGGUGGGGGAUGGGCUCGCGGCCUAUCAGCUUGUUGGUGGGGUGAUGGCUUACCAAGGCUUUGACGGGUAACCGGCCUGAGAGGGUGACCGGUCACAUUGGGACUGAGAUACGGCCCAGACUCCUACGGGAGGCAGCAGUGGGGAAUAUUGCACAAUGGGCGAAAGCCUGAUGCAGCGACGCCGCGUGAGGGAUGACGGCCUUCGGGUUGUAAACCUCUUUCGCUCAUGGUCAAGCCGCAACAGUGGUUGUGGUGAGGGUAGUGGGUAAAGAAGCACCGGCUAACUACGUGCCAGCAGCCGCGGUAAUACGUAGGGUGCGAGCGUUGUCCGGAAUUAUUGGGCGUAAAGGGCUUGUAGGCGGUUUGUCGCGUCUGCCGUGAAAUCCUCUGGCUUAACUGGGGGCGUGCGGUGGGUACGGGCAGGCUUGAGUGCGGUAGGGGAGACUGGAACUCCUGGUGUAGCGGUGGAAUGCGCAGAUAUCAGGAAGAACACCGGUGGCGAAGGCGGGUCUCUGGGCCGUUACUGACGCUGAGGAGCGAAAGCGUGGGGAGCAACAGG
RNAcentral lists this ribosomal RNA (749 nucleotides) under uncultured Actinomyces sp. RNAcentral describes it as "bacterial SSU rRNA". It matches the Rfam family "Bacterial small subunit ribosomal RNA", at positions 28 to 775 of the family's 1533-position model. The record is from RNAcentral. Lineage: Bacteria; Bacillati; Actinomycetota; Actinomycetes; Actinomycetales; Actinomycetaceae.